Stomoxys calcitrans (stable fly) is the source of this 555-nucleotide long non-coding RNA. RefSeq lists it as uncharacterized. The transcript is spliced from 2 exons. Lineage: Eukaryota; Metazoa; Arthropoda; Insecta; Diptera; Muscidae. The record is from RefSeq and is a predicted model, not a curated record.
CUUAAUAGAUGGGCAAAUUUUCAAAUAUAUAAAUAUAAAAUGUGCAACAAGAAAUUUAUCAAAAAAAAAGCCGGGAGCAGUGCAAUAACAAGGCCACAAGGCUACUGUGCCUUAGUUAAUAUAAUUGCAAUAUAAUUGGAAUUCGGUAAUUAUGAUUGUCUAUUGCUACAAAGGCGCUGCUAUAAUAAUAAGCACAGUGGUGAUUCUACUAUUUAAGUGGGAAGUUGGCACUAAUCUUCAAAUUGUUGUUGGGAUAUGUGCAAUUAUUCUUCUUUCUGGACUGCAGGUCCAACCAACGCAAUAACCGGUGUGUUCGUGUUAAAAAAUUUGUGCAAUAUGUUUAGAACGUAGUACAAUUUUUUCAAUUUAGUGCAAUAAUGCGAUAUUUUAAUAUCGUACGAUAUUAUCAAUCCGUGCAAUAAGCUCGAUAUUUAAUUAAUUAGAAUUAUGGGCAGUAAUUUUUAGCUGAAAUAAGUGCAAUACAUCUGUGUCUGUGUGUGCAAUAUUCUUUACGGUCUUUAAGGCUUUUAAUGUGCAAUAAAUAAUUUCUCUGUA